Molecule: long non-coding RNA, 1962 nt
Organism: Vespa velutina
Lineage: Eukaryota; Metazoa; Arthropoda; Insecta; Hymenoptera; Vespidae
Exons: 4
Source: RefSeq, a predicted model, not a curated record
AGCAUAAUGUCGAAGUUUCAAGUAAUUUUCUCGUAACUCGUUUCUCUUCGGCUUUCUACGAUCGUAAAGUUCCCUUCCCUCUCCCUACCUUCGCCCUACCAAAUUUAAAAAGUUAAUAAGAAGUAGCAUGGAAGUUAAACGUUUCCCCUUCGCGCCCACCAUAGGCGACGGACAUUAAUGUUGAAAUUAGUAUCGCUGCUAACGGAGUUCUUCUCGGUCGUCUGGAGUUUGGUGAUGGAAGGACGAAAAGGAUAGAGAGGAUAAGAGGGAGAAUAAUGUGGAGAGAGUUUGGUGAAGCGAGACGAGCUCGCUAUAAAAUCCUUUACGAUCUUGCUUCAUAAAACAUGACUUGCGAAGACGUUUAUGCAAGACUCGUCUGACAUUACCUGUACAUCUUUGAUGUUACUUAUAUAAAAUAAAAAAGGACAAAUUUAAAUGCGAUUCGUGUAAUCGAGAAUCAUUGGAUGCGUCCCUGAGACGAAGAGAAUGGGAUGAGGAAGGGAGUAAGCAGCCUCCGCACUUCGAAGAAGCUCGGUCCAGAACUAAUCGUCAAAAUAUAUAGUAAGCGCUAGUAUGAGGGUAGAAAGGCCGCCCGGGUGAAACACCUGCUCGAUUUGACAAGAUACCCACCGUAGCCUCCUCCUGCACAACAAUAAUAACACAAGAGAUGAAGAAGAAGAAGAAGAGGAAGAAGAAGAAGAAGAAGAAGAAGAAGAAGAAGAAGAAGAAGAAGAUGAAGAAGAAGAAGAAGAACGGAUGCUGGGCUAUACUGGGUAACGCAGAAAGAUUAUUGCAAGACGUAGAACGCUGCGAGCGAUGCUGCCGCUACGAGAGCAAGCUGCAGCUUUAGAGAUGAUCCAGUCUACCGGAAAUACGAUUAUAAGGAAGAAAAAUUUGUGACUUUACGUUACCAUUGAAGCUUCGGGUUUUAUCUUAAUUGGACGAUAUCAGAGCUCUUUUGAUUUUUUUAUACAAACUAAACCAACGUCGAUAUGACAUAAAGGAAGAAGAAGGAGAAGAAGAAGAAAAAAUGAAAGAAAAAAAAAGAAAAGAAAAUAAAAAUAAAAGAAAAUAGCUGGUAAUUUGAUUUAAAGAAAAAUUUAAUUAACUCAAAACGGACGUAGAACGAGAAUGUCGUUAAUGGAAAUCGAUGCAGGUGAAAGUUAAUUGUAAUGUGCACGCGGCCGUGAUUUAUGGCAGUGCUGAUGGAUCUGCCAGCGGACAAACGACUCGAUCUUAAGAGGAAAACGGAAUCUCGGGGGCGACCACUUGAUCUAUAGUUUCGUGCCUGAGUAUACUUUUUGGUACGAACAAAUCUAUUUGGGCUUUCUUUGCGUGCGACCGACGAAAUUCGUGAUCUCUAGACGAAAUACAAUUCGAGUAUUUAUUCGUCUAUUAGAUGUCUCUCAGAGUGAUAUAUACAUAUAUAUAUAUAAAAAAUGUCUCGGAAAUAAUAUUUGCCUUUUGCAAAAAAUUAGAUUAGAUUAGAGAAGAUUUUUUUUUAUUUUUUUUUCUUUAUUUAAUACUUUUUAUCGCUAUCGAAACGAUAAGUUUUAUUUUUCAUUAUUAAAAUAGUUAUGAUAUAAAAUAUGUUAUAACAAAUUUGUAAAAUUAUAAACGCUUUAACAUACUUUGUCCAUUCAUAUAACAUUGUAUCUGUUGUAUAAUAACAUAAGCACGUUCUUGAUGGAUAAUAUUUAUGACCUUGAUCGUCAAUGUUGAAUGACAUAAAUGAUUUACGCGUAUACGCUCAGUUUGUCUACUGUGUCCGUACAGGUGUUUCAUUAUUCAACAAAUAGCGAUAUACACUGAAUUAUUUAAAUCAGUAUACGGGCUGGAAUUAUGAUUAUGGUGACAUCGAUUUACUUCUCGCCAUUAGUCUAUUGUACAUUGUACAUAUACAAUUAAUAUGUUUUUUUAUUUUACAAUUAUUUUUCUCUUUUUCUUCCUUUCUUUCUUUUU